AGAUGUUGAUCCUGGCUCAGAAUGAACGCUGGCGGCGUGCUUAACACAUGCAAGUCGAACGAGAAAUCUUUAGCUUGCUAGAGAAAGUAAAGUGGCGCACGGGUGAGUAACGCGUGGGUAAUCUGCCUCCGAAUCGGGGAUAACAUUGCGAAAGCGAUGCUAAUACCGGAUAAAAUCUGGUUGGCUUCGGUGAACCGGAUCAAAGGUGGUCUCUUUAUAAAAGCUACCGUUUGGAGAUGAGCUCGCGUACCAUUAGCUAGUUGGUGAGGUAAAGGCUCACCAAGGCGACGAUGGUUAGCUGGUCUGAGAGGAUGAUCAGCCACACCGGAACUGGAACACGGUCCGGACUCCUACGGGAGGCAGCAGUGAGGAAUUUUGCGCAAUGGGGGAAACCCUGACGCAGCAACGCCGCGUGAGUGAUGAAGGCUUUCGGGUCGUAAAGCUCUGUCAGGUGGGAAGAACCCACCAAGUGUUAAGACCACUUGGUGCUGACGGUACCACCGAAGGAAGCACCGGCUAACUCCGUGCCAGCAGCCGCGGUAAUACGGGGGGUGCGAGCGUUAUUCGGAAUCAUUGGGCGUAAAGGGCGCGCAGGCGGUUUUGUAAGUCAGAUGUGAAAUCCCGGGGCUUAACCCCGGAAGUGCAUAUGAAACUAUGAGACUUGAGUAUGGGAGAGGGAAGCGGAAUUCCUGGUGUAGCGGUGAAAUGCGUAGAUAUCAGGAGGAACACCGGUGGCGAAGGCGGCUUCCUGGACCAAUACUGACGCUGAGGCGCGAAGGCGUGGGGAGCGAACAGGAUUAGAUACCCUGGUAGUCCACGCAGUAAACGUUGAUCACUAGGUGUAGCGGGUAUUGACCCCUGCUGUGCCGGAGUUAACGCAUUAAGUGAUCCGNCUGGNGAGUACGAUCGC
This 910-nucleotide ribosomal RNA is filed under the name uncultured organism. Its description in RNAcentral is "bacterial SSU rRNA". It matches the Rfam family "Bacterial small subunit ribosomal RNA", at positions 8 to 889 of the family's 1533-position model. The record is from RNAcentral.